AGUAGGUUUGAUCCUGGCUCAGAACGAACGCUGGCGGCAUGCCUAACACAUGCAAGUCGAACGAAGCCUUCGGGCUUAGUGGCGCACGGGUGCGUAACGCGUGGGAAUCUGCCCUUGGGUUCGGAAUAACAGUUAGAAAUGACUGCUAAUACCGAAUGAUGUCUUCGGACCAAAGAUUUAUCGCCCAAGGAUGAGCCCGCGUCGGAUUAGCUAGUUGGUGAGGUAAAGGCUCACCAAGGCGACGAUCCGUAGCUGGUCUGAGAGGAUGAUCAGCCACACUGGGACUGAGACACGGCCCAGACUCCUACGGGAGGCAGCAGUGGGGAAUAUUGGACAAUGGGCGAAAGCCUGAUCCAGCAAUGCCGCGUGAGUGAUGAAGGCCUUAGGGUUGUAAAGCUCUUUUACCCGGGAUGAUAAUGACAGUACCGGGAGAAUAAGCCCCGGCUAACUCCGUG
Molecule: ribosomal RNA, 455 nt
Filed under: uncultured bacterium
Lineage: Bacteria
Description: bacterial SSU rRNA
Rfam family: Bacterial small subunit ribosomal RNA
Source: RNAcentral